RNAcentral lists this ribosomal RNA (201 nucleotides) under uncultured bacterium. RNAcentral's name for it is "partial 16S ribosomal RNA". It matches the Rfam family "Bacterial small subunit ribosomal RNA", at positions 335 to 528 of the family's 1533-position model. The record is from RNAcentral.
CCCCUACGGGAGGGCAGCAGUGGGGAAUUUUGGACAAUGGGCGCAAGCCUGAUCCAGCCAUGCCGCGUGUCUGAAGAAGGCCUUCGGGUUGUAAAGGACUUUCGGUAGCGAGGAAGGCAUUUAGUUUAAUAGACUAGGUGAUUGACGUUAACUACAGAAGAAGCACCGGCUAACUCCGUGCCAGCAGCCGCGGUAAUGGGG